Long non-coding RNA from Scylla paramamosain (green mud crab), 586 nucleotides. RefSeq lists it as uncharacterized. The record is from RefSeq and is a predicted model, not a curated record. Lineage: Eukaryota; Metazoa; Arthropoda; Malacostraca; Decapoda; Portunidae. The transcript has 3 exons.
GCGGGUACUAUAUACUGCGUUAGGCGGUGCGCGGCGGAGCAAUACAAGAUGGCAGUGGCGAGGGUUGAGUGCUUGCUAGAGACGGUCCACAGAGGGACACCACUACCCAGCUUAGUACUUAAGUGGCUAAUGUGAGGUGUUGAUGGCUGCUGCGUUAGAGGCUCACAAGUACGCCGACGGGCCACGCCUUUACGACAGGGUACGAUGGGCUCAACCCCCGACGGAGCCUUUAAUGUGACCCUUCAGCCAGUGCCUCGACCACCACCACCACCACCAUUACCACUACCAUCACCACCACUACCACCACCAGGCCAUCUACCACGACUCACCGCCCCAGCCACGACCACCACAGCUCUCUCGAGACGACCACCCGCCAUCACUUCUUGGAGCAGGAGGUAAGCCGAGGUGGACGUGCGGCGUGUUUCCCCCGUGGACUGCCGUGAGUAAGCCCUUUGUACUGAUACCAAUUCACCAAAUCCGUAGACCUGAUCGCUUUCCUGGACUUCCUGUGCUCACUUUUCACUGAUUCGAUACAGCUGACAGAAAAUGCCAUGAAUAAACCUUUUAUGUUCACAACGUCUCUGCA